GAAUUUCACUAGGGGAGCCAAUGGCUGAGACUGAACACUCGUUCUACACCCUUUGAACCUGAUCUGGAUCAUACCAGCGGAGGGAAGCUGAAAGAAACGUUUU
RNAcentral lists this non-coding RNA (103 nucleotides) under Bacillus sp. (in: firmicutes). RNAcentral's name for it is "Bacillus sp. TPP sequence". It matches the Rfam family "TPP riboswitch aptamer (THI element)". Rfam says of the family: Vitamin B(1) in its active form thiamin pyrophosphate (TPP) is an essential coenzyme that is synthesised by coupling of pyrimidine and thiazole moieties in bacteria. The previously detected thiamin-regulatory element, thi box was extended, resulting in a new, highly conserved RNA secondary structure, the THI element, which is widely distributed in eubacteria and also occurs in some archaea. Analysis of operon structures identified a large number of new candidate thiamin-regulated genes, mostly transporters, in various prokaryotic organisms. RNAcentral also lists the same sequence under 1 other name. The record is from RNAcentral. Lineage: Bacteria; Bacillati; Bacillota; Bacilli; Caryophanales; Bacillaceae.